This is a long non-coding RNA of Triticum aestivum (bread wheat), 805 nucleotides long. RefSeq lists it as uncharacterized. The record is from RefSeq and is a predicted model, not a curated record. The transcript has 2 exons. NCBI's taxonomy places the organism in Eukaryota, Viridiplantae, Streptophyta, Magnoliopsida, Poales, Poaceae.
CGCCGCGCGGGCGCGCACGCACUAUCCAGCCCCUCACCCUCUCCUCUACACACGGCAAACCCUAAUCCAGCCCCGUCGCCCAAAGCCCCAAACCCUAACCCAGCUGCGGCGGGCGACGGUCGAAUCUCCCAGCUUGCCGUGCAUCCGGUCGAUCUCCCACCUCUCGACACCUCGCUUGCGUCCACGGCGGCGCGAACAAGGCAUCGGCAGCGAAGCGAAGGCAAGGGUGCCCAUCGAGCGACGGUUGGAUCUCCCGGCUCGCCGCGCAUCCGGUCGACCUCCCACCUCUCGGCACCUCACGUCCACGGCGGCGCGAACAAGGCGGCGGCAGCUAAGCGAAGGCAAGGGCGCCCAUCGGGUGACGCUCGGAUCUCCCAUCUUGCCGCGCAUCUGGUCGAUCUCAUACCUCUCGACACCUCGCGUCCACGGCGGCGCGAACAGACGGUGGCAGCGAAGCGAGUGCAAGGGGGGCGGCGGCAGAGCUCUCAGUCGUUCCCACAUAUCUGACCUGAACCACCCUCCUUGGCUCUCCAGCAUUUCAUCUCAUCCGACUCAGUCCACGGCGUCGGGGAAUGGAUCAAGCCCAAGCCUUGUUCUUCUUGCAAUGGAUCGGCGCCCACCGGACCCAAAUCGGCGCCCACCGGACCCAAAUCGGCGCCCACCGGACCCAAUUGACUGAAUUUUUUGAUCUUUACUUUGGAGAUGCUGCUGUCAUAUGCAGCAACAUUGGUCGCAACUAUCUGAAGAGUGCCUACCGGUUUGUCAUUGAUACAUUCAAUCGAGGGUAUUGCUGGCAUGGAUCAUU